This 345-nucleotide unclassified non-coding RNA is filed under the name soil metagenome. Its description in RNAcentral is "partial contains 5.8S ribosomal RNA, internal transcribed spacer 2, and large subunit ribosomal RNA". The stretch from base 1 to 119 matches the Rfam family "5.8S ribosomal RNA", at positions 35 to 154 of the family's 154-position model. The record is from RNAcentral.
GAUGAAGAACGCAGCGAAAUGCGAUACGUAAUGUGAAUUGCAAAUUCAGUGAAUCAUCGAGUCUUUGAACGCACAUUGUGCCCCCUGGUAUUCCGGGGGGCAUGCCUGUCCGAGCGUCAUUGCUGCCCUCAAGCACGGCUUGUGUGUUGGGCCCCGUCCUCCGAUCCCGGGGGACGGGCCCGAAAGGCAGCGGCGGCACCGCGUCCGGUCCUCGAGCGUAUGGGGCUUUGUCACCCGCUCCGUAGGCCCGGCCGGCGCUUGCCGAUCAACCCAAAUUUUUAUCCAGGUUGACCUCGGAUCAGGUAGGGAUACCCGCUGAACUUAAGCAUAUCAAUAAGCGGAGGA